CUAACUUCUUAUACAUGGUGACGCUAUAUGCUGUCGCUUGUGCUCAGCAAUCCAUCACUCUUUCUUUUGCAGAAUUGCAGGUCAAGCUUCGUUCAGAUGGCGGUUGCCGGGGCAGUGGCGAUGUCCGGCGGUAUUCUCCUCCUCCUCCUCCUCCUCCUCCUCCUCCUAGCUGCCGCCUGCGUCGAAGCCGGCGAGCUGCCGCCGAUUAGCCGGAGAAGCUUCCCCAAGGGGUUCAUCUUCGGGACGUCCUCCGCGUCCUAUCAGUGCGAGGGUGGAGCAGCAGAGGGGGGCAGAGGACCAAGCAUCUGGGACACCUUCACAUAUCAGCAUCCAGAUAAAAUCGCUGACAAAAGCAACGGGGAUGUGGCUGACAACACCUACCAUCUCUACAAGGAAGAUGUGCACAUGAUGAAGGAGAUGGGAAUGGAUGCAUACAGGUUUUCCAUCUCAUGGUCAAGAAUUCUUCCAAAUGGAAGUCUGAAUGGUGGAGUCAACAUAGAAGGCAUCAACUACUACAACAAUUUGAUCAAUGAGCUAUUAUUGAAAGGGGUCCAAUCAUUUGUUACCCUUUUCCAUUAUGACACACCUCAGGCACUGGAAGAUAAAUACAACGGAUUUCUUAGCCCUAAUAUCAUAAAUGACUAUAAGGACUAUGCUGAAAUCUGCUUCAAAGAGUUUGGUGACCGAGUGAAACAUUGGAUCACCUUCAAUGAGCCUUGGAUCUUCUGCUCUAAGGCCUAUGCAUCUGGCACCUAUGCCCCGGGCCGGUGUUCACCCUGGGAGAUGGGAAAAUGCAGCGUUGGAGAUUCAGGAAGGGAGCCUUACACUGCAUGCCAUCACCAACUACUUGCCCACGCAGAAACUGUUCGGUUGUACAGAGAGAAAUAUCAGUUCACUGAAGAAGUUGUCAGGCAGUCGCAGUUCAUCCAUGAUAAUGAUUUACAUCGAAGAUCCGCAAAGGCCUUACAAAAGGGGAAGAUUGGAAUAAUUGUGAACUCACAGUGGUAUGUUCCCUUCUCCCCAUCCAAAACCAACAAGGAUGCAGCAAGACGUGUUCUAGAUUUCGUGCUUGGAUGGCUUAUGGAUCCUCUCAUUAGAGGGGACUACCCCCUAAACAUGAGAGAAUUGGUUGGAAAUCGCUUGCCAAAGUUCACCAAAGAGCAAUCUGAAAUGGUCAAGGGUGCAUUUGAUUUCAUUGGACUUAAUUACUACUCUUCAAGCUAUGCUGAGAAUGUUCUUCCAUCGUAUGGUCUUAAGAACAGCUACAAUACUGAUUUCCACGCUAGGAUUACCGUCGAAACGGUACUCUCAUUGGUCCUCAGGCUGCUUCAUCUUGGCUUCAUAUAUACCCUCAAGGGCUCCGUGAAUUGUUGCUUUAUAUCAAGGAAAACUACGGCAAUCCUACCAUCUUUAUUACUGAAAAUGGUGUUGAUGAAGUCAAUAACAAGACCAUGCCACUCAAGGAGGCCCUGAAUGAUAAUACGAGGAUAGAAUAUUAUCACAAGCACCUUCUCGCCCUGCGAAAUGCUAUGAGGGAUGGAGCAAACGUGAAGGGGUACUUUGCAUGGUCUCUGCUUGACAACUUUGAGUGGGCGGAUGGCUACACACUCCGGUUUGGGCUAAACUUUGUGGAUUACGAUGAUGGGAUGAAGAGACACCCCAAGAAUUCAGCCCAUUGGUUCAAGAAGUUCCUCCGAGAAAUGAAACAGGGAUGAAAAGAGUCGCACGCAUUGCCUUCUUUUUUUUCAUUGAACAUCGAAAUUGAGUGUCACAGAUGAAAUGAGUUUGAGAUGUGCUUCUUUGUUUAGGCUAUACAAGAGUAAACUUCACAAAACUACACGUUUUGUUGUCCAAGUUACAAUAAAACCACACAAAUUAUUAGAAGCAACAGAUGACAAGUGAUUCACAUUUUCUCUAAGAAAAAGAAAAAGGGAAUUACGCC
RNA transcript from Oryza sativa Japonica Group (Japanese rice), 1942 nucleotides. It is a transcript of the gene named putative beta-glucosidase 9, with no coding region annotated. Lineage: Eukaryota; Viridiplantae; Streptophyta; Magnoliopsida; Poales; Poaceae. The record is from RefSeq and is marked validated.